Molecule: non-coding RNA, 29 nt
Filed under: Rattus norvegicus (Norway rat)
Lineage: Eukaryota; Metazoa; Chordata; Mammalia; Rodentia; Muridae
Source: RNAcentral
UUUCUGAACUGAAUCUUGGCAUGGAGAUC